UACGGAGGGAGCUAGCGUUGUUCGGAAUUACUGGGCGUAAAGCGCACGUAGGCGGCUUUGUAAGUUAGAGGUGAAAUCCCGGAGCUCAACUUCGGAACUGCCUUUGAUACAGCACGUCUUGAGUCCGGAAGAGGUGGGUGGAAUUCCUAGUGUAGAGGUGAAAUUCGUAGAUAUUAGGAAGAACACCGGUGGCGAAGGCGGCCCACUGGUCCGGUACUGACGCUGAGGUGCGAAAGCGUGGGGAGCAAACAGG
RNAcentral lists this ribosomal RNA (253 nucleotides) under uncultured bacterium. Its description in RNAcentral is "partial 16S ribosomal RNA". It matches the Rfam family "Bacterial small subunit ribosomal RNA", at positions 524 to 776 of the family's 1533-position model. The record is from RNAcentral.